This 696-nucleotide ribosomal RNA is filed under the name uncultured bacterium. Its description in RNAcentral is "bacterial SSU rRNA". It matches the Rfam family "Bacterial small subunit ribosomal RNA", at positions 32 to 715 of the family's 1533-position model. The record is from RNAcentral.
AACGCUAGCUACAGGCUUAACACAUGCAAGUCGAGGGGAAACGACAUCGAAAGCUUGCUUUUGAUGGGCGUCGACCGGCGCACGGGUGAGUAACGCGUAUCCAACCUGCCCAUCACUUGGGGAUAACCUUGCGAAAGUAAGACUAAUACCCAAUGACGUCUCUAGAAGGCAUCUGAAGGAGAUUAAAGAUUUAUCGGUAAUGGAUGGGGAUGCGUCUGAUUAGCUUGUUGGCGGGGUAACGGCCCACCAAGGCAACGAUCAGUAGGGGUUCUGAGAGGAAGGUCCCCCACAUUGGAACUGAGACACGGUCCAAACUCCUACGGGAGGCAGCAGUGAGGAAUAUUGGUCAAUGGGCGCAAGCCUGAACCAGCCAAGUAGCGUGCAGGAUGACGGCCCUAUGGGUUGUAAACUGCUUUUAUACAGGAAUAAAGUUAGCCACGUGUGGUUAUUUGUAGGUACUGUAUGAAUAAGGACCGGCUAAUUCCGUGCCAGCAGCCGCGGUAAUACGGAAGGUCCAGGCGUUAUCCGGAUUUAUUGGGUUUAAAGGGAGCGUAGGCCGUCUGUUAAGCGUGUUGUGAAAUGUAGAUGCUCAACAUCUGAAUUGCAGCGCGAACUGGCAGACUUGAGUGUGCGCAACGUAGGCGGAAUUCGUGGUGUAGCGGUGAAAUGCUUAGAUAUCACGAAGAACUCCGAUUG